GAUGAACGCUGGCGGCGUGCUUAACACAUGCAAGUCGAACGGAAAGGCCCAAGCUUGCUUGGGUACUCGAGUGGCGAACGGGUGAGUAACACGUGGGUGAUCUGCCCUGCACUUCGGGAUAAGCCUGGGAAACUGGGUCUAAUACCGGAUAGGACCACUUCUUGGAUGUUGUGGUGGAAAGUUUUUUGGGUGUGGGAUGAGCUCGCGGCCUAUCAGCUUGUUGGUGGGGUAAUGGCCUACCAAGGCGUCGACGGGUAGCCGGCCUGAGAGGGGGUACGGCCACAUUAGGACUGAGAGACGGCCCGGACUCCUACGGGAGGCAGCAGGGGGGAAUAUUGCACAAUGGGCGCAAGCCUGAUGCAGCGACGCCGCGUGGGGGAUAACGGCCUUCGGGUUGUAAACUCCGUUCGCUAGGGACGAAGCGUUUUGUGACGGUACCUGGAGAAGAAGCACCGGCUAACUACGUG
RNAcentral lists this ribosomal RNA (467 nucleotides) under uncultured bacterium. Its description in RNAcentral is "partial 16S ribosomal RNA". It matches the Rfam family "Bacterial small subunit ribosomal RNA", at positions 28 to 507 of the family's 1533-position model. The record is from RNAcentral.